GCGAGGCCAGGCUCAUUUUCUGGGUUGCCAAGAGGACUUCCGGACCUCGCUCACGUGGACUUCUGGGGACACCGUCCAUCGGUGGCAAUACAAAGUGUGCCCGCUUGGCUUAGCACAGAGCCGCAGAGUCCUGACGGAUGCUUCCCUGUUAAGAUCGGGCUCACCGCAGACUUGUCACCCGGAUGGGCAGAGGUCCACGUGACUGUGGGGCCAGGCCCCUGAAGGAAGUAGCACGGAGCUGGCAGAUGGCCCAGCCACCGUGUCUACAACCAGUCGUCCCCACGGAUCACACACAAAAACAUUGAGGUGGGUCUGACAUUUGGCGCCGACACAAAGGAGCACAGGUGGCAGUUUCCUGAGAGUCCAUCUGCAUCACAAGGCAACCUCGGCCUGCCACAGACAGCUUUCUCCGAGCUUCUUCUGGCCUUCACUAGCCCCAGAAGCCCCGUCCUUAAACCCGCCUGCCAGUUCUUCACCAGAUCUCUGGAAACUCUGGAUAGUGGUCCAAAAAGAAAUACAGCUGCUUUUAUUUCUUUC
Long non-coding RNA from Peromyscus leucopus (white-footed mouse), 537 nucleotides. RefSeq lists it as uncharacterized. The transcript has 2 exons. NCBI's taxonomy places the organism in Eukaryota, Metazoa, Chordata, Mammalia, Rodentia, Cricetidae. The record is from RefSeq and is a predicted model, not a curated record.